UACGGAGGGUGCAAGCGUUAUCCGGAUUCACUGGGUUUAAAGGGUGCGUAGGUGGGCAGGUAAGUCAGUGGUGAAAUCUCCGGGCUUAACCCGGAAACUGCCAUUGAUACUACAGGUCUUGAAUUUUCUGGAGGUAAGCGGAAUAUGUCAUGUAGCGGUGAAAUGCUUAGAUAUGACAUAGAACACCAAUUGCGAAGGCAGCUUGCUACAGGGAUAUUGACACUGAGGCACGAAAGCGUGGGGAUCAAACAGG
This 253-nucleotide ribosomal RNA is filed under the name uncultured bacterium. RNAcentral's name for it is "partial 16S ribosomal RNA". It matches the Rfam family "Bacterial small subunit ribosomal RNA", at positions 524 to 776 of the family's 1533-position model. The record is from RNAcentral.